This 1392-nucleotide long non-coding RNA is filed under the name Gallus gallus (chicken). Its description in RNAcentral is "long non-coding RNA NONGGAT011948". Lineage: Eukaryota; Metazoa; Chordata; Aves; Galliformes; Phasianidae. The record is from RNAcentral.
GCGGAGCGGGCCGAGAGUCGCUAGCCCCGCUACUGUGUUUGCGAAGAGGAAAACGUCGCCUGGAGCUCGGGGGUGGCAAGGCUUUCGUCUGCGGCCCUGCCCCGCCGCUCGCGUCAGCCCCGGGCGGCAGGGCACUGCGGCUUCCCCCGGGCGGCCAGCGCGGCCCUGAUGCCUCGCCCCGCCCCGCCCCACCCCGGUGCUGCCUCGCUUCGCUGGGUGCAGUUUGGGUGCCACAGUGUGAGGAGGACAUAAAAUAUUAGCAUCCAAAAGGGCUAUGAAGAUGGUGAAGGGUCUGGAGAGGAAGAUGUGUGCAGAGCAACUGCUGUCCUUUGGUGCGCUCAGCCCAGAGCAGAGGAGUGCAGCUGUAUGCGUGGGCAGCUCUAGGCCUGAAGGCUCACAUGAAGUGAUGGGCUUUCUCCAGGGGUCAGCAAGGACUGGUGGCAGUGCUGCCCGGGCUGGGAUACUCGGUCUGGAGAAGCUAAGUAGCACACAUAGUAUGUCCGUGCUAAAAGGUCUCGCAGUGCUGAAAUCUGGCAUUCAAAUGCUGGUACUGAAGAAAUAACAAAGAAAGAAGAACACACAGAAAAGACACUCCGUCUUCCCAGUGGACACUUCUCCCUGCUUCCUGACGUCGGCCUGUUGGGUGUUUCAUACUCCAUAGCUCUGAAACAGGGUCCAUCCAUUGUCUGUGAUCCCUUUGAAGGUAUACUUUCUCCUCUGCCGUCUUCUGUGCAUCUGUGCUGCAUGGGUGUCUCUUUGCUCUAGCCUCGUUCAGGCAACUUUUCUUAUGCCUCCCUUUUUUCUCCAGCAUCCUCCUGCCCCUGCAUGUCUCCUGUCCUGGUACCUCUUCCCUGGGCCCUGGUUCUCUUUUACCCAUGUUCUUUUGGAUUUUUCCUUAAAAAGGUUAACAAAGGUUAACUAUGAUCUGUACAUCUAUUUUUUUCCACCUUAAGUAUUCAUAGAUGGAGUUGGAGUAUAUGCGAUGUUGUGCAUUGUAAAGCAUGCCAAGAAGCAUAUGUGGAAUGGAAAUUGUAUAAGUCACAAAGUAAAGGAUAAGAAUUUUAGAAUGUGGAAUAAUAUAAAUUCAUUAUAGAAGAGUCCAUGUGAACAUCUCUAUGCUUUUCAUGAAGUGUUUUGUAUAACAUGCAACUUGAGCUCAAAGAGUAUGGCACAGAAGUGAUAUCCUUCCAAGGGCAUAAAUCUCUGUAUGAUCAGUUUAUUUUCAUGUAGUAUUGUAAUAAACUCUUUGAAGCUGAAGAGAAACAGUGAAAUAAGUGAGUUAAUGGCCUUCAUGUGGCAUUUCUGAUAAUCAUUAACUGUGGUCUAAAGUGUUUCUCUUUAUUGCUCUCCACACACGUGAGCAAUUGUCCUUCUGAGAAUAGGUGCUUCUUA